CCCAUUUGGGCAGAGGGAUCCUCCUCCCAUCGUCACUGAGCCUUUCAUCUGCUGAUCUUAAAUGUACCUCCUGGAAGAAAAAGUGGCUGUGGGGGUGGAGAGUUCUUUUACCACCUUAGAGAUGCUAAAGUACAACAAAUCACGAGGUGGACCUGCUUCCACUCCCAACUGCUUGGGCUGUGUUUCAUUCUCUUAGUGCCAAGCCCCAGCCCCAGGGAGCCUGCCUAGUGGUUGGAUGAGCAAUACAGAAGAGGACAUCUAAGCUGAGGCGGGCACAGAACCUCUUACAAUUAAAUAUGGAUGCUACUUGAGCUGAGAUGUAAUUGAGUGAGACAUCCAGUGAGAAAGUGUCUGCUCCUGGGAGAAGGUCACUUGUAUGGUGGCCAGGAGCAGAGAGUUGGUCUGUAACAACACUUGGGACAGCCUGGAGCCUGCUUGGCAGCAAGAGUCAGCGUACAGAGCAGUAAAAGAUGGUUGAGGAUAGGGACAUUCGUCCCUCUGAUGGAGAAAAGAAGUUAGACUGUCGGGCUGUCCUGCUGAGAUUUGGACAGGCUGAACUCUUGGCUGGAGGGGAAAAUCCUGGACUUCAACAAGGGCAAGUGUAAGGUCCUGCACUGUGGGAAUGCAAUGUGAGAAUAAUAACAAGCAAAUGCUGGCCUUGGUUCCCACAGCUGCAGGCUACCUUCCCUGGGAAGGGGUAGAUCAGUGGGCAUCUCCUUAAUGACAAACAUGAGGGGCUCUGUAUGUAAAAGGCUGGGUUGUUCUUGACUGAAUAUGCUAAUGUGUAGGGGUGUGCCCUAUGCUCAAGAAUAUGUAAUGAGAGACAAAAAGAUCAAUAAAGGUCUCUGCUAAAAUUCA
Pogoniulus pusillus (Red-fronted tinkerbird) is the source of this 858-nucleotide long non-coding RNA. RefSeq lists it as uncharacterized. Lineage: Eukaryota; Metazoa; Chordata; Aves; Piciformes; Lybiidae. The transcript is spliced from 2 exons. The record is from RefSeq and is a predicted model, not a curated record.